This is a small RNA of 87 nucleotides. It matches the Rfam family "t44 RNA". From Rfam's summary of the family: This family consists of a number of bacterial RNA genes of between 135 and 170 bases in length. The t44 gene is found between the map and rpsB genes in all species in the full alignment apart from Shigella flexneri. The record is from Rfam.
CUUCAGUGAAGUUAAUCCGCACAUGUGUCGACACGAUUUUCUGGGUGCCUCUCGCAGGUUGAAAGUCGGGAUACAUGGAGGCCCAAC